GCUGAUUACUGAUAUUGUCCCCUCUGGAAAUUCCCUACUCAGGUGGGCACUCAACACGGAGUAUUCGGUGAAAACUAGAAAGAGAUGUGCAAGAACGUAAGCUACCUUGGAAGACAAAUAGGCAACACAGGGCCCUAUUAAACCUAAGUUCACACAGUAAUUGGAAGAACAGUCUCAUAAUUUCCAGCUCCCGGGGAAGGCUAACUUGGAACACAACAGAAAAAAGAAGCCCU
Molecule: long non-coding RNA, 233 nt
Filed under: Struthio camelus australis
Lineage: Eukaryota; Metazoa; Chordata; Aves; Struthioniformes; Struthionidae
Description: lncRNA (ENSSCUG00000002094.1)
Source: RNAcentral